Molecule: ribosomal RNA, 772 nt
Filed under: Viridibacillus sp.
Lineage: Bacteria; Bacillati; Bacillota; Bacilli; Caryophanales; Caryophanaceae
Description: bacterial SSU rRNA
Rfam family: Bacterial small subunit ribosomal RNA
Source: RNAcentral
GUCGAGCGAAUGAUGAAGAAGCUUGCUUCUUCUGAUUUAGCGGCGGACGGGUGAGUAACACGUGGGCAACCUACCUAGUAGAUUGGGAUAACUCCGGGAAACCGGGGCUAAUACCGAAUAAUUCAUUUCACCUCAUGGUGAGAUGCUGAAAGGCGGUUUCGGCUGUCACUACUAGAUGGGCCCGCGGUGCAUUAGCUAGUUGGUGGGGUAAUGGCCUACCAAGGCAACGAUGCAUAGCCGACCUGAGAGGGUGAUCGGCCACAUUGGGACUGAGACACGGCCCAAACUCCUACGGGAGGCAGCAGUAGGGAAUCUUCCACAAUGGACGAAAGUCUGAUGGAGCAACGCCGCGUGAGUGAUGAAGGUUUUCGGAUCGUAAAACUCUGUUGUAAGGGAAGAACAAGUACGUUAGUAACUGAACGUACCUUGACGGUACCUUAUUAGAAAGCCACGGCUAACUACGUGCCAGCAGCCGCGGUAAUACGUAGGUGGCAAGCGUUGUCCGGAUUUAUUGGGCGUAAAGCGCGCGCAGGUGGUUUCUUAAGUCUGAUGUGAAAGCCCACGGCUCAACCGUGGAGGGUCAUUGGAAACUGGGAGACUUGAGUGCAGAAGAGGAAAGUGGAAUUCCAAGUGUAGCGGUGAAAUGCGUAGAGAUUUGGAGGAACACCAGUGGCGAAGGCGACUUUCUGGUCUGUAACUGACACUGAGGCGCGAAAGCGUGGGGAGCAAACAGGAUUAGAUACCCUGGUAGUCCACGCCGUAAACGAUGAGU